GCGAAGGCACCUUCCUGGGAGCAAGGUCUAAUAAUAAUAAUAAUAAUAAUAAUAAUAAUAAUAAUAAUAAUAAUAAUAAUAAUAAUAAAAUCCCUUACAAUAUCCAAGAUGGCUCACUGCUACAGAAUCUUGGGAGGUUUAGUUUGGUAUAGUACCAUUAUUGGCAGAGAAAGCUAAGCUGUAGGAGUUGAAAUCCAAUCAUUUAUCCUCCCUAUAGAAUCAAUUUUAUAUGCAUUUUUAGCUACAGAAAAGCUAAAAUCAGGACAGUAAAAGAACAACACCCAGAAAAUGGGAAUUCCAGACAGGAAACAAUCAGGGCCAGCUAAUACCUCCCAACAAAGGAUUCCCCCAGGUAGGAAGCAGCCAGGCUUUGAAGCUGCAAGGCUAUUCAAUGCUAAUCAAGGUGACCAAUUGCAACAUUCACACUUGCCUCCCACAGACAAGAGUUCUUUCUCCCACCCUGGACCUUCCACAGAUAUAUAAACCCCACUUGCCUAGCUUCGCACAGACGUCAAAACCUCUGAGUAUGUCUGCCACAGAUGUGGGUGAAACAUCAGGAGAGAAUGCUUCUGGCACAUGGCCAUAGAGCCCGGAAUACAUACCACAACAGUGUGAUCCCGGCCAUGAAAGCUUUCGACAACACAACCACAGUAUCCAUUCAAGUUCAUGUAGCGUCGUAUGGAGACCUGUAUUGGGGGGAGGGAGGGUGCGAAUCUGGGCCCCUGGGAGUCGUAGUCCUCCCUCCCUCCCCGGGAGCAGCCGAGGACGGGCCUGGCCCACACCCCCUCGCAUCCCGGGCCUCCGUCCCUCCCUUGCUUUUCCUCUUUGGUCUCCCUAUCUUGAACACAGAACACGCAUGAAAAAAAACACACCAUAAUUUCACAAUAUAUAGUUUAAAUAACAAAAGGAAGAGGAAGGAAGAGGCCCGGGAUGCGAGGGGGUGUGGGCCAGGCCCGUCCUCGGCUGCUCCCAGGGGCCCAGAUUCGCACCCUCCCUCCCCCCAAUACAGGUCUCCAGUCCAUACCACGCUACAUGAACUUGAAUGGAUACUGUGGUUGUGUUGUCGAAAGCUUUCAUGGCCGGGAUCACACUGUUGUGGUAUGUAUUCCGGGCUCUAUGGCCAUGUGCCAGAAGCAUUCUCUCCUGACGUUUCACCCACAUCUGUGGCAGACAUAGAGGUUUUGACGUCUGUGCGAAGCUAGGCAAGUGGGGUUUAUAUAUCUGUGGAAGGUCCAGGGUGGGAGAAAGAACUCUUGUCUGUGGGAGGCAAGUGUGAAUGUUGCAAUUGGUCACCUUGAUUAGCAUUGAAUAGCCUUGCAGCUUCAAAGCCUGGCUGCUUCCUACCUGGGGGAAUCCUUUGUUGGGAGGUAUUAGCUGGCCCUGAUUGUUUCCUGUCUGGAAUUCCCAUUUUCUGGGUGUUUCUGGGAAGGUAAUGGCACUCCAUGUAGUCAUGCCGGCCACAUGACCUUGGAGGUGUCUAUGGACAACACUGGCUCUUGGGCUUAGAAAUGGAGAUGAGCACCAACCCCCAGAGUCAGACAUGACUGAACUUAACGUCAAGGGAUACCUUUACCUUUACCUACACACACACACACACACACACACACACACACACACACACAAGCAGGGACUAUAUAUAUAUAUAUACACAAUAUAUAUCACACACACACCAAUUUAACAAAGUUUCAGCCACAAAAACAAAGUUUCUGAAGUAGAACAAUGACUUUCACAGUAAAGACAACCCAAUUUAACAGGAAAUAAGACUUUCAAACCAGGAACAGAUUACUGCAAUUAUUAAAAAAAGGUUUAUUAUAAAAGCUAUGAAAAUUUGCCAAAAAUCAGAGGAUAAGGGAAACGUUCCACAUUUUGGUGAGCUAUCAGUGUUAAAUGUGUUCUACCACUCUACCAAGUUUGAAGAAGAUCACUCAAAAAAUGAGGGCGGGAGAGCCCCCAAAGUCCCCCCCCCUUCGGGCUGUUUUUGGGCCACCGCGCAUGCGCGUCCGCCAUUAACGAAUUAAUUUAGAAAAUAACGAAUUUUCAUUAAUUUCGAAAAAUUUUGGGGGCCAAAUUCGUUAUUAGCAACAAAAACGAAAAAACUGCCCCCUCUAGUAUUGAAACGAGUUUAGAAUCAAAUUUUUCAUGGAUCGAUCAAGCCUAGUCCGGGAGAUAGCAGGGGCAGGCAUGUAGCCGGGGGGUGGGGGGUGGGUGGGAGGCUUGAGGGGCUUCAGCCCCCCACCCCCGAAAUUCUCAGGGUGGUCCACGAGAAGGCCUUACAUUUAUUAUUUAAACUGUUAUGUUUAUUCAUAUCAUGAUCUGAUCACCAUACUCAAUAUAUCCCAUAUGCAUGGGGGUAUUGGAAUAACAAUACAAAAGGGUAGAUCCUCUCUCACCCAGACUCAGCCCCCUCCCCCGAGCCAAAAUUCCAGACCCCCCUGAAACAAAAUCCUGGCUAUGGGCCUGAGCAGGGGCAUUUGCCAUGGCUCAUUGAAAAUCUGUCAUGGGGCAUGGAGAACCCAUUGUCCCACAUAGUUUGCAUUGUCCUUACCUCAUCCCAUGGGAGAGACAUUGCC
Long non-coding RNA from Anolis carolinensis (green anole), 2570 nucleotides. The record is from Ensembl. NCBI's taxonomy places the organism in Eukaryota, Metazoa, Chordata, Lepidosauria, Squamata, Anolidae.